GGCGGGUGUUUGCAGCUGGACACAGUUACGUUACGGAGAGAUAAUCCCAAGCAACAGACCUUUGCAAACUGUAUAGAUCAUCUUCCGCAAGAAACCUUUCUCCCUCCCCAGAAACGGGAACCUACCAAGCCCUAUGAUCAUCAUGUAAGGCCGUUCUUCAUAUGCCUUCUUCAUGAGAGGUCCGGAGGGUGGCAACAUGAGAACAGGCCUUUUAUGCAGUGGCUCCCUGUUUGUGGAAUGCUCACCCCAGGGAGAUUCACCUGGCACCUUCAUUAUACACCUUUAGACGCCAGGCUAAAAUGUUCCGCUUCAACCAAGCCUUUUGCUCAGUAACAUCCUGUACAGUGGUGCCUCGGUUUCCGAACAUAAUCUGUUCCAGAAGACCGUUCGACUUCCGAAACAUUCAAAAACUGAAGCAGUUACUUUCAGAAGCAUUUACUUACAGAAAACUCAAUAUAGAAGCCGAAAAGCAUUCGAAAACCGAAGCAGUUACAUCCAGGUUUUUGGCGUUCGAAAACCAGAACGUUCGACUUCCGAGAUGUUCGAAAACCAAGAGUACAAAGCUUCAGAAAAAAAAAGACGAGAGAGACCUAUUGGAUAUGUUUAUUAUAUGAGAAUAAGAAGAUCUGCAGCCCAUUCAACCAAGUAUGAAUGUGAAAUGUACAUGAAAAUAUGCAUGAAUUUUCAUGUGUACUGUACUUUAAAAAAUAAUGCAAGUGUUGUUGGAAAUGUGGAGAACUAAAGUUAAGAUUUUAAAUACGAGAAGCUGAAAUGGACACAUCCCUGUAUCCCUAAGGGAAGUAUCUCCAGCACAGUUUCGAUGAAGACUCUAUCAAGGUAUCCACGAGAUCUCCCUUUGCAGAAGCUGGUGCUUUGCCAUUAAACUGAAAAGGUCACGAUUCCAGACAAUGAGCUAUUUGUGCCGACCAAAAUGAGGGGCGGGGGAGUUGCCCCACAUCUGGAGACCAAAAAAAAAAAAAGGA
This is a long non-coding RNA of Zootoca vivipara (common lizard), 983 nucleotides long. RefSeq lists it as uncharacterized. Lineage: Eukaryota; Metazoa; Chordata; Lepidosauria; Squamata; Lacertidae. The record is from RefSeq and is a predicted model, not a curated record.